GUGCCUUAGCAGCACAUAUACUAAAAUUAGAACGAUACAGAGAAGAUUAGCAUGGCCCCUGUGCAAGGAUGAUAUGCAAAUUCGUGAAGCAUUCCAUACUUUU
Molecule: small nuclear RNA, 103 nt
Filed under: Bos taurus (domestic cattle)
Lineage: Eukaryota; Metazoa; Chordata; Mammalia; Artiodactyla; Bovidae
Also listed under: 1 other name
Source: RNAcentral